Molecule: long non-coding RNA, 281 nt
Filed under: Homo sapiens (human)
Lineage: Eukaryota; Metazoa; Chordata; Mammalia; Primates; Hominidae
Description: non-protein coding lnc-OR9A2-1:1
Source: RNAcentral
GGGAACUACUCUAGUGCCACUCAAUUCUGUCUCCUGGGCUUCCCAGGCUUUGAGGAACUGCCCCAUUUCCUUUUGGUUAACUUCUUCUUUCACUUGAUGAGAUUAAUGGGAAAUGCAGUCAUUUACAUGGUUGAAUUGAUGAAGUCUUCAGUCUCCCGGGGAUUUCUUCCUCAUCCCCUCAGCCUCUGGCCAAAAAAUAAUCCUUCUCCACUCAUGCCUCCCAUUUCACCUGUGUGGUGAUUGACUAUGACAGCUGCUUGUUUCUCUACGUGAAACCCAAG